Molecule: ribosomal RNA, 254 nt
Filed under: uncultured bacterium
Lineage: Bacteria
Description: partial 16S ribosomal RNA
Rfam family: Bacterial small subunit ribosomal RNA
Source: RNAcentral
UACGGAGGAUCCAAGCGUUAUCCGGAAUUACUGGGCGUAAAGAGUUGCGUAGGUGGCAUAGUAAGCGAGUAGUGAAAGCGUUCCGCUCAACGGGAUAAACAUUACUCGAACUGCUAAGCUAGAGAGUGAGAGAGGUAGAUGGAAUUCCUAGUGUAGGGGUAAAAUCCGUUGAUAUUAGGAGGAACACCGAUGGCGUAGGCAGUCUACUAGCUCAUUUCUGACACUCAGGCACGAGAGCGUGGGGAGCGAACGGG